UGCACUCAAGAAUACACCCAAGGUCUGG
Molecule: non-coding RNA, 28 nt
Filed under: Mus musculus (house mouse)
Lineage: Eukaryota; Metazoa; Chordata; Mammalia; Rodentia; Muridae
Source: RNAcentral